RNAcentral lists this long non-coding RNA (384 nucleotides) under Homo sapiens (human). RNAcentral's name for it is "novel transcript". Lineage: Eukaryota; Metazoa; Chordata; Mammalia; Primates; Hominidae. The record is from RNAcentral.
AUGGAGAAGAAAUAAGAUGAACUGCUUGUCCCAGAAAGCGAUAGAACUUUGAAAGCAGCUAUAUAUUUCCUAGCUACCUCUAAAAAAUGGAGCUGUCUUCAUGAGACCUGUAAGAAGCCAACAGUUUUCCUCACUGCCACCAUGUGAAGAAGGAUGUGUUUGUUUCCCUUCCUUCAUGAUUAUCAAAUGGAGGUUCCCAUGAUUUUCUUUUUCCUCAUGGAAACAUGUUUGGUCAGAAGGGAAACAAACCAAUUAAGGUGAUACCAAAGGAUGAUCCUUGAUACAGUUGUAUUUUGGUGGAGCGUUGAGAUUCGCCAGUGAACUCUAACAGUGAGGAUGGCACUGGAAUAAAAAGAGAAGAAACAUGUACUAGAAGCCAAAAAA